This 458-nucleotide long non-coding RNA is filed under the name Rattus norvegicus (Norway rat). RNAcentral's name for it is "long non-coding RNA NONRATT011488". The record is from RNAcentral. Lineage: Eukaryota; Metazoa; Chordata; Mammalia; Rodentia; Muridae.
CCCUAACGGAGAUUGUGAAGGUUUUCAAAGUGGGGCACCUCGAUUUCUCGAAUCUGUGGUGUGGCGAAUAUCCGUGUUCUUCCGGCUUAACUAGCCUGUUUGAAAGAAAAUGCAAGGGGAAAUAUCUGAUACGGCUCUGUUAUUUGAUGCUUUGGGCAGCACUAUGCUCAGAAGUCAUUCAACUUCCUGCCAUCUCCCUAACUUGUAUUCUCUGGCAAAAUGAAGGUCUGAGACGUUUCUAAAAGACAGAGUUGGAAAUGAACCAUCAUUGGUGUUGACAGAGAUGCCAAGCAGUCACCUGAGUGCAUAUAGCGUAGGUCCUGACUUCAAUUCCCAGCAAUCACAUGAUGGCUCACAACUGUCUGUAAUGGGAUCUGAUGGCCUCAUCUAGUGUGUUUGAAGACAGCGACGGUAUAGUGUAUUCACAUAUAUAAAAUAAAUGAAUUUUUAAAAAUUUG